GGGUUGUGAGGUUAAGCGACUAAGCGUACACGGUGGAUGCCCUGGCAGUCAGAGGCGAUGAAGGACGUGCUAAUCUGCGAAAAGCGUCGGUAAGGUGAUAUGAACCGUUAUAACCGGCGAUGUCCGAAUGGGGAAACCCAGUGUGAUUCGUCACACUAUCGUUAACUGAAUACAUAGGUUAACGAGGCGAACCGGGGGAACUGAAACAUCUAAGUACCCCGAGGAAAAGAAAUCAACCGAGAUUCCCCCAGUAGCGGCGAGCGAACGGGGAGCAGCCCAGAGUCUGAAUCAGCUUGUGUGUUAGUGGAACGGUCUGGAAAGUCCGACGGUACAGGGUGAUAGUCCCGUACACCAAAAUGCACAGGUUGUGAACUCGAAGAGUAGGGCGGGACACGUGGUAUCCUGUCUGAAUAUGGGGGGACCAUCCUCCAAGGCUAAAUACUCCUGACUGACCGAUAGUGAACCAGUACCGUGAGGGAAAGGCGAAAAGAACCCCGGCGAGGGGAGUGAAAAAGAACCUGAAACCGUGUACGUACAAGCAGUGGGAGCACCUUCGGGUGUGACUGCGUACCUUUUGUAUAAUGGGUCAGCGACUUAUAUUCUGUAGCAAGGUUAACCGUAUAGGGGAGCCGCAGGGAAACCGAGUCUUAACUGGGCGUUAAGUUGCAGGGUAUAGACCCGAAACCCGGUGAUCUAGCCAUGGGCAGGUUGAAGGUUGGGUAACACUAACUGGAGGACCGAACCGACUAAUGUUGAAAAAUUAGCGGAUGACUUGUGGCUGGGGGUGAAAGGCCAAUCAAACCGGGAGAUAGCUGGUUCUCCCCGAAAGCUAUUUAGGUAGCGCCUCGUGAAUUCAUCUUCGGGGUAGAGCACUGUUUCGGCUAGGGGGUCAUCCCGACUUACCAACCCGAUGCAAACUACGAAUACCGAAGAAUGUUAUCACGGGAGACACACGGCGGGUGCUAACGUCCGUCGUGAAGAGGGAAACAACCCAGACCGCCAGCUAAGGUCCCAAAGUCAUGGUUAAGUGGGAAACGAUGUGGGAAGGCACAGACAGCCAGGAUGUUGGCUUAGAAGCAGCCAUCAUUUAAAGAAAGCGUAAUAGCUCACUGGUCGAGUCGGCCUGCGCGGAAGAUGUAACGGGGCUAAACCAUGCACCGAAGCUGCGGCAGCGACACUAUGUGUUGUUGGGUAGGGGAGCGUUCUGUAAGCCUGCGAAGGUGUGCUGUGAGGCAUGCUGGAGGUAUCAGAAGUGCGAAUGCUGACAUAAGUAACGAUAAAGCGGGUGAAAAGCCCGCUCGCCGGAAGACCAAGGGUUCCUGUCCAACGUUAAUCGGGGCAGGGUGAGUCGACCCCUAAGGCGAGGCCGAAAGGCGUAGUCGAUGGGAAACAGGUUAAUAUUCCUGUACUUGGUGUUACUGCGAAGGGGGGACGGAGAAGGCUAUGUUAGCCGGGCGACGGUUGUCCCGGUUUAAGCAUGUAGGCUGGUUGUCCAGGCAAAUCCGGAUAAUCAAGGCUGAGGUGUGAUGACGAGGCACUACGGUGCUGAAGUAACAAAUGCCCUGCUUCCAGGAAAAGCCUCUAAGCAUCAGGUAACAUUAAAUCGUACCCCAAACCGACACAGGUGGUCAGGUAGAGAAUACCAAGGCGCUUGAGAGAACUCGGGUGAAGGAACUAGGCAAAAUGGUGCCGUAACUUCGGGAGAAGGCACGCUGGUGUGUAGGUGAAGUCCCUGCGGAUGGAGCUGAGACCAGUCGAAGAUACCAGCUGGCUGCAACUGUUUAUUAAAAACACAGCACUGUGCAAACACGAAAGUGGACGUAUACGGUGUGACGCCUGCCCGGUGCCGGAAGGUUAAUUGAUGGGGUUAUCCGUAAGGAGAAGCUCUUGAUCGAAGCCCCGGUAAACGGCGGCCGUAACUAUAACGGUCCUAAGGUAGCGAAAUUCCUUGUCGGGUAAGUUCCGACCUGCACGAAUGGCGUAAUGAUGGCCAGGCUGUCUCCACCCGAGACUCAGUGAAAUUGAACUCGCUGUGAAGAUGCAGUGUACCCGCGGCAAGACGGAAAGACCCCGUGAACCUUUACUAUAGCUUGACACUGAACAUUGAGCCUUGAUGUGUAGGAUAGGUGGGAGGCUUUGAAGCGUGGACGCCAGUCUGCGUGGAGCCAACCUUGAAAUACCACCCUUUAAUGUUUGAUGUUCUAACGUUGGCCCCUUACCGGGGUUGCGGACAGUGUCUGGUGGGUAGUUUGACUGGGGCGGUCUCCUCCCAAAGCGUAACGGAGGAGCACGAAGGUUAGCUAAUCCUGGUCGGACAUCAGGAGGUUAGUGCAAUGGCAUAAGCUAGCUUGACUGCGAGCGUGACGGCGCGAGCAGGUGCGAAAGCAGGUCAUAGUGAUCCGGUGGUUCUGAAUGGAAGGGCCAUCGCUCAACGGAUAAAAGGUACUCCGGGGAUAACAGGCUGAUACCGCCCAAGAGUUCAUAUCGACGGCGGUGUUUGGCACCUCGAUGUCGGCUCAUCACAUCCUGGGGCUGAAGUAGGUCCCAAGGGUAUGGCUGUUCGCCAUUUAAAGUGGUACGCGAGCUGGGUUUAGAACGUCGUGAGACAGUUCGGUCCCUAUCUGCCGUGGGCGCUGGAGAAUUGAGGGGGGCUGCUCCUAGUACGAGAGGACCGGAGUGGACGCAUCACUGGUGUUCGGGUUGUCAUGCCAAUGGCACUGCCCGGUAGCUAAAUGCGGAAGAGAUAAGUGCUGAAAGCAUCUAAGCACGAAACUUGCCCCGAGAUGAGUUCUCCCUGAGACUUUAAGUCUCCUGAAGGAACGUUGAAGACGACGACGUUGAUAGGCCGGGUGUGUAAGCGCAGCGAUGCGUUGAGCUAACCGGUACUAAUGAACCGUGAGGCUUAACCUUACAACGCCGAAG
Molecule: ribosomal RNA, 2922 nt
Filed under: Klebsiella pneumoniae
Lineage: Bacteria; Pseudomonadati; Pseudomonadota; Gammaproteobacteria; Enterobacterales; Enterobacteriaceae
Description: bacterial LSU rRNA
Rfam family: Bacterial large subunit ribosomal RNA
Source: RNAcentral